UGAUUGGCUGUGUUUUUUGCCUGCUCUUUUGUUUCAGCGCUCCGCUUGGUCUUUCCCCCGUUCGCUCUAUUCACCCGCUAAACGCUAGUGCUAAGAGCUGCUGGAAAGCUGCCUGUACAGCCAUUAUAGGGCCCUGGCAUAUUUUAUUUAGACUUCAUUUAGGGGUUUGAUAAAGUCUGUCUGUAGGUGCAGAAUGUACAGCUUCAUGGGAGGAGGGCUGUUUUGUGCAGGAGUGGGCAAUAUACUCCUGAUUGUUUCCACAGUAACAGAUUACUGGAUGCAAUACCGUCAUUCAAACAACUACAUGCAUCAGGGGCUGUGGAGAUACUGCAUGCCCGGAAAAUGCUUCACGCACACCGACAGCAUUGCAUACUGGGAUGCUACACGAGCGUUCAUGAUCUUGUCUCUGUUGGUCUGCUUUUUUGGCAUCAUCAUCGGUAUUAUGGCCUUCAUCCACUACUCAUCCUUUGACAGGUUUGAUAAAACCUUUGCUGCAGGCAUUCUGUUCUUCGU
Molecule: long non-coding RNA, 513 nt
Organism: Sinocyclocheilus anshuiensis
Lineage: Eukaryota; Metazoa; Chordata; Actinopteri; Cypriniformes; Cyprinidae
Exons: 3
Source: RefSeq, a predicted model, not a curated record